RNAcentral lists this ribosomal RNA (397 nucleotides) under uncultured bacterium. RNAcentral describes it as "partial 16S ribosomal RNA". It matches the Rfam family "Bacterial small subunit ribosomal RNA", at positions 523 to 918 of the family's 1533-position model. The record is from RNAcentral.
AUACGUAGGGGGCGAGCGUUGUCCGGAAUGAUUGGGCGUAAAGGGCGCGUAGGCGGCCCGGUAAGUCUGGAGUGAAAGUCCCGUUUUUAAGAUGGGAAUUGCUUUGGAUACUGUCGGGCUUGAGUGCAGGAGAGGUAAGUGGAAUUCCCAGUGUAGCGGUGAAAUGCGUAGAGAUUGGGAGGAACACCAGUGGCGAAGGCGACUUACUGGACUGUAACUGACGCUGAGGCGCGAAAGUGUGGGGAGCAAACAGGAUUAGAUACCCUGGUAGUCCACACCGUAAACGAUGAAUGCUAGGUGUAGGGGGUAUCGACCCCUUCUGUGCCGCAGUCAACACAAUAAGCAUUCCGCCUGGGGAGUACGGCCGCAAGGUUGAAACUCAAAUGAAUUGACGGGG